RNAcentral lists this ribosomal RNA (423 nucleotides) under uncultured bacterium. Its description in RNAcentral is "partial 16S ribosomal RNA". It matches the Rfam family "Bacterial small subunit ribosomal RNA", at positions 359 to 773 of the family's 1533-position model. The record is from RNAcentral.
GAAUAUUGGACAAUGGGGGGAACCCUGAUCCAGCCAUGCCGCGUGUGUGAAGAAGGCCUGUUGGUUGGAAAGCACUUUAAGCGAGGAGGAGGCUCCUCUAGUUAAUACCUUGAGGUAGUGGGAGUUAGUCGCAGAAUAUGCCCCGGCUCACUCUGUGCCAGCAGCCGCGGUAAUACAGAGGGUGCAAGCGUUAAUCGGAUUUACUGGGCGUAAAGCGCGCGUAGGUGGCCAAUUAAGUCAAAUGUGAAAUCCCCGAGCUUAACUUGGGAAUUGCAUUCGAUACUGGUUGGCUAGAGUAUGGGAGAGGAUGGUAGAAUUCCAGGUGUAGCGGUGAAAUGCGUAGAGAUCUGGAGGAAUACCGAUGGCGAAGGCAGCCAUCUGGCCUAAUACUGACACUGAGGUGCGAAAGCAUGGGGAGCAAAC